UGGGGAAUAUUGGACAAUGGGGGCAACCCUGAUCCAGCCAUGCCGCGUGAGUGAAGAAGGCCUUCGGGUUGUAAAGCUCUUUCAGAUGUGACGAUGAUGACGGUAGCAUCAGAAGAAGCCCCGGCUAAUUUCGUGCCAGCAGCCGCGGUAAUACGAAAGGGGCGAGCGUUGUUCGGAUUUACUGGGCGUAAAGGGCACGCAGGCGGUCCUGCCAGUCAGGGGUGAAAGCCCGGGGCUCAACCCCGGAAUUGCCUUUGAUACUGCAGGACUUGAGGACAGGAGAGGGUGGUGGAAUUCCCAGUGUAGAGGUGAAAUUCGUAGAUAUUGGGAGGAACACCGGAGGCGAAGGCGGCCACCUGGACUGUUACUGACGCUCAUGUGCGAAAGCGUGGGGAGCGAACAGG
RNAcentral lists this ribosomal RNA (404 nucleotides) under uncultured bacterium. Its description in RNAcentral is "bacterial SSU rRNA". It matches the Rfam family "Bacterial small subunit ribosomal RNA", at positions 355 to 776 of the family's 1533-position model. The record is from RNAcentral.